AUGUUUGCCGAAGUCAUUAAACCCUCCCACCUAGAGGAAAGGAAUCGAAGGUUUCUAGGUGACCUGCGGAAGGAUCAUUGAAUUUCAAAACCACAAUGUGAACCUGUUUGUCCCACGCUUUUGCAUAGCGCGGUGCCCUGCGCUGGCGGCCUGGGAUUGCACUCGCAAGGGUGCAUUCUUGGGGUUAUCUGUGCAAUUGCGUGUUUUUCCCACACCCAGUGUUUUCACUGAGUUGUGCCUUUCUUGGGCGCAGCCAAACCAAACUCUGAAGAAAGGUUGUCAUACACUGACAAUCACAAACGAAAACAACUCUCAACAACGGAUAUCUUGGCUCUCGCAACGAUGAAGAACGCAGCGAAAUGCGAUACGUAGUGUGAAUUGCAGAAUUCCGUGAACCAUCGAAUCUUUGAACGCAUAUUGCGCUCGAGCCUUCGGGCAAGAGCAUGUCUGCCUCAGCGUCGGUUUACACCCUCACACCCCUGUCUUUUUGAUAGCGUCAAGCCUAAUUCUAGGCUUGCGGGUGUGGAAUUGGCUUCCUCAAUCGAUCUUGUAAUUGAUUGGGUUGGCUGAAGUUUAGAGGCUUGAGCAAGGACCCGUUAUGGGCAUCAACUGGAUAGGUAGUGCCAGCCAUUCGGCUGUCUACACGAAGUUGUUGCUUGUGGACUUUGCUGGGGGCCAGCAGGAAACACGCUUUUGCGUGCCCUAAACUUUCGACCUGAGCUCAGACAAGACUACGGACUGAACUUAAGCAUAUCAAUAAGUCCAGGAAAAGAAACUAACCAGGAUGCGCUUAGUAACGGCGAGCGAACCGCGCAAAGCCCAACUUGAAAAUCUCCCUUUGGAGAAUUGUAGUCUAUAGAAGCAUCCUCUGCAACAGACGGAGCUCAAAUCUUCUGGAAAGGAGUGUCAGAGAGGGUGAGAACCCCGUCGGUUCCUGUCUUUGUUGCUUCACGAGGUGCUUUCAAAGAGUCGUGUUGCUUGGGAAUGCAGCACUAAUUGGGUGGUAAUCCCAUCUAA
Molecule: ribosomal RNA, 1017 nt
Filed under: Ankistrodesmus sp. DOE0259
Lineage: Eukaryota; Viridiplantae; Chlorophyta; Chlorophyceae; Sphaeropleales; Selenastraceae
Description: eukaryotic LSU rRNA
Rfam family: Eukaryotic large subunit ribosomal RNA (bases 712-1017)
Source: RNAcentral